RNAcentral lists this ribosomal RNA (252 nucleotides) under uncultured bacterium. RNAcentral describes it as "partial 16S ribosomal RNA". It matches the Rfam family "Bacterial small subunit ribosomal RNA", at positions 525 to 776 of the family's 1533-position model. The record is from RNAcentral.
ACGAAGGAUCCAAGCGUUGUCCGGAUUUACUGGGUUUAAAGGGAGCGUAGGCGGAUAGAUAAGUCAGUGGUGAAAGCCUUCAGCUUAACUGAAGAACUGCCAUUGAAACUGUCUAUCUCGAGUAUGGUUGAGGUCACUGGAAUGUAACAUGUAGCGGUGAAAUGCUUAGAUAUGUUACAGAACACCAAUUGCGAAGGCAGGUGACUAAGCCAUAACUGACGCUGAGGCUCGAAAGCGUGGGGAGCGAACAGG